GGGAUGACCUCCUCCCUUCACAGUGGAACUCUACACGUGGCUCAGUCGGUGGAGAUGGAUCGGACGAACUCGCAUCAACCUUCAUCUUCCCUUUUUGACCAGCCGUGACACCAUCUGAGCCAGAUCGGAUGCCCCCAUUGGUCCUCGGAGUACCUGAGCCUCUGUGGUUAGUUGACAUCACUGCCUCGCCUCCGGAAGAGGAGACCCCCUUCCCACCAAAAGCUGGAGUAAAAUCCGAUCCGGAUGGAUCGCAGUCCAUAGCAGCUUCAGCCUGAAAGAAGACCUAAACCUCGGCGCCUUCGGCCGGAAAGACCAAAGCCGGUUUGCUGGAGUUUCUCUCCCAAGUCUCUUCUCUCACAAGGCAGACUUUCGAUCACUGGAUAGACUAGCGGUGACACCUUCGGCACCCUCGGCUGGAAGAAGACCAAACCCCUCUGCACCUUCGACACCUCCGACCGAAGAGGAUCAAACCCUCGGCACCUUCGAUCAGAAGAAGAACCCAAACCCUAACGCAAAUCGAUGAACAAAGAGGGCUUUUUCGGUCGCUGGAGUUUCUCUCCCUAGUCCGUCUCUCACCAGACGGUCUUUGGUCACUAACAACAUGGUGUACUUAAACGAUCCACUCUAACACCCUCGGCAGAAUAUCAGCUGUAAGAAUUUUUUGCGAUAACAAAGCCAACUGAGGAUUUUGAUUUUCUCGGAAAUUGAUA
This 710-nucleotide long non-coding RNA is filed under the name Elaeis guineensis (African oil palm). Its description in RNAcentral is "long non-coding RNA (EGUI_LNC046334)". The record is from RNAcentral. Lineage: Eukaryota; Viridiplantae; Streptophyta; Magnoliopsida; Arecales; Arecaceae.